UCUAAACGGUCUCAAGUACAAAAACCAAAACAAUACGGUAAAUCACUAAGCGGAAGAGAAUUGUAAAUGUCCCCUAUGGCGAUCACGCUUCCUUCCUUCCCCUCGCCGGUUUGCCACCUUUGUUACCUUUGCCUAAAAAAUGAAACAUAAAAGGGGUGGGUAUAAAAAUACUCAGUAAGAGACUCACUAUCGGUCCUGUCAGGGGAAAAUAAAUUAUUAACGUCCUAUUGGAAAACCAUGUACAGUCACAGUCUUGGGAUCCCGUAGGAGGAUACACAUUUUAGUCUAACGUCCUUAUUUCAGUCUAGUGUUCUGCAGAAACACUUAUCAGUCUAAUGCUCCCGAAUGAUGCAUAAAAAUUGGUGAUCCCGUAGGACACCUACAAGGCACACAUAUCUCAAUAAAACUAACAAUUUUCCCCUCAGUCCAUUCUAAACCUUAAUUAAUCAAUCAAUUUGCAAAUUCAAAAUAAUUCGACACCUUUACAGUCAAUUUAUGCAAUCCAACACCUACUCAACAUUGUUGUAACAAUUCCUCAACAAAAAAACUUAUACACAAGUAACCCUCUUCUUAAUUCAGUUAAUUUAAUUUAGUUCUUUAACCACAUGACAGUUCAGUCAUCACAACCAACCAAGCAUAUGUACCUGUCAAUCCAUCUCAAUCCACACAGCCAAACAAAUCAAAUAAGAUUUGCAUAUCAGCCAGACAGUCAAAAUAAGAUUUGCAUAUCAGUCCAUUAGACAAUACAUCUCAAUUUCGCCGUUGAGUCCAAUAGUAGGAACCCUUACCUCAAAGUUAGGGAAGCUCCCUAAUCAAUUAAGGUCCACGAAACAAUCCUAAGCACAAUAUUGCAAAAUUCGAUUACUCUCACAAUACAUAUCUCAUUUACUUUCCUCAAAGUAGAUUUUUUGCUUACUAAAUGUGGCUAACCGAAAUCAAAAUUCACAAAUUUGUUUUAGUGGCUAACCGAAAUCAAAAUUCACAAAUUUGUUGUGAAUUCAUGUGACCCAAGGCUACUUCCAACACCUUCCAGAAUCUAUCAUUUGAACCAAUUAACCAUUAAAAUUCAUAAAAAAUUUACAAUACAAAACCAUCAAUCCUACAAUUUUCAUUCUUACCACAACUACCAGAGUAUGGCAGAAACUACAACGAUUAAAGGAAUGAGAUCUGCACGUAUAAACCGGAUUGGGGAACCGGCAACAGCUAUUUCACAGCCGGCGGACGAGGAAGUGGCACGGCACACAACGACAUGCAGUUGUCGGAUUGUGAACGGGGACAGGCGCAAUCAAAACGCAAUCCGGAUUCAACGAACGACCUGCAACUUGCAACAGAUGAUUCACGACGAAGGGAUGGCGUGCAGCAGAGAGAUGGCGUACGGUGAUUCGCAGCUCGGCUGUGCAACCCGAACGGAAGAACGAUGCAGCGGCGACAGAACGAAAAGAAAAGAUCAGACACUGGCGGAAUCUUGGAUUUUGGAUGGCACGGCGUCGCAGAUCUGAACGACGACUGCAAGGUGACGCGUACGGCUUGCUUCGCGAAUGGAGACAGAGAUGGCGGCCGACGGUUGCAGACGUAGCAGAUGAAGACGCGCUGCGGCUGGGUAGGGUAAAAAAGAAAGAGAAACGGAAGAAGAGGAGAUUGGGGUUGAGGUGGCCGGCGGCUGCAAACUGAAGGAAGAAAGAAGAGAAAAAAAACGGAAAAGAAAAGAGAAAAGAAGAAGAAAAAGAUUUUUCUUUUUCUUUUUCUUUUUUUAUAAUAAAUAUAAUAUUAAUAUAUAAUAAUAACAAUAAAUAUAUAUUAUUAUUAUAACAUUUCUAAUCCUUUUCUCUCCUAAUUUUUUUCUUUUUUUUAAAAAAAUAAAUCUUCAAAUAAAAAUAUAAUUUAAUUUAAAAGUAAGAUACUUGAAAGAAGAAGAAGAAAAAAAAAAGAAAGAAGAAGAAGAAGAAAAACAAAAAGAAAGAAGAAAGAAGAACAAGAACAAGAAGAAAAGGAAGAAGAAAGAAGAAGAAGAACAAAACAAAAAGAACGAAGGAGCUUAAUUGCUGAAGGCGAAGCAUAACGAAGAAGUCUGAUCGCUUCUCCUAGGGCGGUAGAUUUGGUGGCAAAAACCUGAUCGUUCCUAGGAGAAGCUCGACGAUGAAGAAGCUUGAUCGCUCCUGCUAGGGCGAUAGAUCUGAUGGCAAGAGCCAUAUCAUUCCUAGAAGAAGCUCAACGACGAAGAAGUCCAACGAUGAAGAAGCCCGAUCGAUCCUACUAGGGCGGUAGAUCUAAUGACAAAAGUCUGAUCGUCCCUAAAAGAAACUCGAUGACGAAGAAUUCCAACGACGAAGAAGUUCGAUCACUCCUACUAGGACAGUAGAUCUGACGGCAAAAGCCCGAUCGUCCCUAGUAAAAGCUCGACGACAAAGAAGUCUGAUGAUGAAGAAUCCUGAUCGCUCCUACUAGGGCUGUAGAUCUGACGGAAAAAGCCCGAUCGUCCCUACAAGAAGCUUGACGACGAAGAAGUCUAAUUGGUUCUACUAGGGUGGUAGAUCUGACGGAAAAAGCUCGAUCGUCCAUAGAAGAAGCUCGAUCGCUCCUACUAGGACGAUGGAUCUAACAAAAAAAGUCUGAUCGGUCCUAGAAGAAGCUCGACGACGAAGAAGCCCGAUCACUCCUACUAGGGCGGUAGAUCUGACGGCAAAAGUCUGAUCGUCCUUAGAAGAAGCUCGACGACGAAGAAGCCUGAUCGCUCCUACUAGGGCGAUAGAUCUGACGGCAAAAGUCUGAUCGUUCCUAGAAGAAGCUCAACGACGAAGAUGUAACACCUCGAACUCUAAGGUAAUUAAUUUUAAUCAGAUUGCUCUAAUUUAGGACUUUUAAUUUUAGUUGGGUGUUACUUUGUUGUUUUGGCUUAGAAAAGAAAUCUAUUUAAUGGGAAAGAAAAGAAGUGAAAGUGGAAAAGUUAAUAAUAUAAUAAUAUCAAUAUCAUGACAUAAGUAUUCUUUUUUCUUUCGUUUCGUAGCAUAAUUUUUUUUCUUAAAAAAAUUGUUCUUUCUUUUUCCGUUUCGUAAUAUAUAUUUCGGUCAUGUUCCUCCUAUUUUGUUUAAUUUUUUAUUGUUCAGUUCAUCUUCUUGUCAUGUUUGACAUAUAAUUUUUAUUAAAUGUAUCGUCGUUCGUAUAUACUAUGAUAUACCAUUGAAUAAUAAAUUUAUGUUAUGUGAUUUGUAACAUAUAUAUUACUACAUAUAUUCAAUAAUACAUACACAUAUUCUUUUUCAUAUUUUGUGAUUUUUCUUAGUGCGUAUAUAUACCAAUAUAUACACAGAGUAUAUAUUCAUUCCUUAUCUUUUUUAUAUUUCUUACCUAUAUGUUACUGCAUAAUUCAUUUAUGUUUUGUGAUUUGUUACAUAUAUACCACUACAUAUAUUCAAUAAUACAUACACAUUUUUUUUAUGUUAUGUGUUUUUUUCUUACUGCAUUUAAUAUGGAUUAUAUUUCUUACAUAUGUGUUACUGAAUAAUUUUUUUUCCCCUAUAAUUCUCUAGAUCUUCAAUUCUUUCAUCAAAGUCCCUACAAUACAAUCAUAUUCAGUUUUUCUCAACAUUACAUAUACUAGAAAACAACUAAUGUUUUAAUGACAUAUAUUACAUAUACUUAUAAUAAUUAUUUCUCAUUCAUGUUCCCGUAAACAUAAACAACUUUAAUACAUAAUCAAUAUUAUUUCAAACAUAACAUUUUACUUACUAUGUAAGAUAUGAAUAUUUAAAUAAAAUAAAUAAACAAUUUGAUAUAAGAACCUUUCACUAAUAAAAUAUACACCGAAUUUAUAUAUGUUAUUUAGUAUAUAUACCUCAUAUUAUAUACAAUAAUAUCUUAUACAUAAUUCCUACAGAAUUUGUGUUUAAAUUUUUUGUUUGUAUAACAGAUAUUAUUAAAACAGUAGUAAACGACAUGAUCAUACAUACAUAUUUUUCCUUUAUAAUGUAUUUGAUUACAUUAUACUUUAAUAUAUCCGCAAUCUAUAAUAGUUAUGUUCUAUGUUUUUGUGUAUAUAUACCUCAUAUUAUAUACAAUAAUACUAUAUACUGACAUAUAGUUUUAUUAUUUUUUGAUAGGAUGAUCAAAAUGUAGUUCUUCUUCAACGUUGAAUUCUCAAUAAACUCUAGAAUGUAUCACAUUCAAAACUAGAUUUUCGUUUGUUUGCCUAUUUAAUCGAAUAUUUAAAAUAUACCUAAUAUACCAAAUGUUUCAUAUGUUUGAAUAUAUAUAAUAUUAAGCACAAAAUUUCUAGCUAGAUUCUGUUGAAUAAGUUUUGUAUUUGUCGGCCAUCGAACGUUUUCUUCUUCACCGUCAAAAUCUCAAUAAACCCUCAAAUGUAUCACAUUCAAAACUACAUUUUCAUUUGAUUUCCUAUUUAAUUGAAUAUCUAAAAUAUAUAUAAUAUACCUAAUGUUUCAUAUGUGUUGAAUAUAUACAAUACUAACCUCGAAAUUUUAAACUAAAUUAUGUUCAAGAAGUUUUGUAUUUGUCGACCGUCAAAUGUCUUCUUCUUCACCUCCGAACUCUCUAAAAUUUUGAAGUAAAAACCGUAAUCCACAUUGGAAGGAGUAGACAAUCGUUUUCGUAGAAGGAAAGCAGGAAAGGUUUUUCACUUCCUUCCAAAACCAUAUCCCAUGAUUUUUUUCUAUUUAGAUAUUUGUUAUAAAUCCUACUUAUUUCCAAAACUGUAUCUGACGAUUUUUUCCGUUUAGAUAGGAAAGGUUUUUCAGCUUAUGAUAGGAAUAAUUUUAAUGGUUUGAUCACAUACAUAGAAUUCAUACAAUCAUCAAGUAGAAACUUAGCUUUGAAACUUCCUUUUCAAUUAAACAAACUGUCUAAUAACAUCAACAAAGUUACAUGUGCUAAACAUUUCAUAACAACAUAAAGACUUAGAAAUAAUACUUUAGAACAUUGUUAUUUCUUUAGAAAAUCACUCAUAAAAUAUUUAGUUUCCUUCCCUCCCUCUGAUCAACUAACUCCAAGUCCCUUCUCUCACCUAAUGUAAUGACAAAAAAAAGACCAUUUUAAAUUUGGAUUAUCUUGGUUUAAUUUAAUAGUGUUAGGGGUGAAUUGAGAUUUUUGUUGAGGAUUAUUUGAUAACUUAAUUUGGUAGAUUGUAUGGAUUGAGAAUCAUUUUAUGUAUGGAUAAUUAAUUGGAUUUUAUAAUGGAAAUAGUUAUAUGAAGAUAAUAUAAUUAUAUAUGGGUAUUUGUUAGUUGUAUAUUAAAUUAUGGAAGCGAAUAAUAAUUAUAUUAAGAAUAAUAUAAUUAUUAAGAUUUUAUGUUUAGUUUUUGGAAAAAAGAUAAAAUGAGGUAAUUUGAUGGUUUAGAAUUAAGGAAGGGAGAGAAGAUAUUGGGUUUAUUUUUUAAAAGGUAAAAAAAAAAAAGAGAAGGAAAUAAAUAAAAGAAAAGAUAUAUUAAUAAUAUUAUUAUUCUAUAUUAAUUAGAGGCCCUCGUUCACGUCAAAACCAUAGUCUCUGCCCUCACCAUCUCCGGUCGUCUCUAUCUCUUUUUGCUAGCAGCCACUCAGUAUAAUGAUACAUCAAAAUUUAAUUUUAAUAUUUGAACUUGUUCAAAUAUUUUAUCUCUCAUAAAUUAAUUUUGAAUCAUAUUCAAAAUUAAAAAUUAAAAAUUAAAUUUAUAAUAAAGUUUCACAAAAUUUAUAUUAUAAUGUAUCAUUAUACAUUAAACUAAUUCACUAAGUAAAUUUAAACAUUUCAAGUUACAAUCACUAUAAAUAAAUGUCAUUACCCUUUACGAGCUAGGAAAGGGACCUAAUGGACCUACAGAUCAGAAGCUACAACAAUCUGAGAUUAAUUGGCUAAACUCAUUAACCAGAUUAAUCAAUAUUCGUUAACUGUGUGUACACUCCACUAAAGACUCACAACUGAACUCUUCUCACUAUAGAUAUAUUUCUAUGUCCACGGAUAUAGACCAAUAAUAGUAAGUUAGUCCUUCACGAGUGUUCGUAACACCAGUUGGGUCCAUUUAUCGUUUUACCCCUCGAUUAUCUCUAAUCCUUAAAUAUCAGUGCUUCUCUAAUGAACAACCUGUUUAUGGUCCUACUAAUAAACAGAAAUCCCUCUCGUGCCAUAGAGAGGGUAUGACCCUUUAUUCAAGACCUGAAGACACCAUUUAAUGGAACACUCAUCUACUUACCCUAAAGUAAGGAAUGAGUGAAUUUCAUCUUAUGUAAAUAUGUUCCCAGCUCCCCACUCGGUCUUGUCCCAAAAAUGAUAAGUUUAUUGAGUUGGCGAUCUGACCACUCUCACCCGUACAAAUCAAAGGACAAUCCCUCGCAAAUAGGAGUUCAUAACACACUCAGGAUUAAAACUAAGUUACCUAAGUCAUCUUAGUGAAAUAGAAACCUAACUAGUUAACGGAGUUACAUCUAGUGGUACUACUACAAAAACAGGCUCUCUUGACGUUUGCAGUUUUUCUUUCUUGACGUUUUUUUCGAAAAACGUCAAGAAAUAUUUCAUUUUUAAUAAAAAACGUCAAGAAUUUUUCUGAAACAUCAUUCUUGACGUUUAUUAAACGUCAAGUAAAAUAAAUUUUUCCUUGACGUUUUUAAAACAUCAAGAAAUAUCUAUUAAUUUUUUGACGUUCUUAAAACGUCAAGAAGCGUGUGAAUUCGACAUGCUUGACGUUUCUUAAACAUCAAGAAUUUAAAAUUUUACUCGAUGUUUUAAAAACGUCAAGAAAUUUAUAAAAAAAUCCUUAACGUUUUGAAAAAUGUCAAGAAAUUUAUAAAAAAAUCCUUGACGUUUCUAAAAAUGUCAAGAAAUUUAUAAAAUAUUCAUUUAAGUACAUUUUCUCUUCUGUAAAACGUCAAGAAUUUAAUCGUUGUAAAACGACGUCGUUUCAUUUAAGUACAUUUUCUCUUCUGUAAAACCUAAUUUGUCGCGCGUUCGAAGGGAAGCUUCUCCCCUUUUGCAUCGUCGUCGUUUCGUUCGUCGUUCUCCCCUUUCACCGUUCUCAAGCUUUCACCAUUCUCAAGCUUCCACCGUUCAUCGUUCUCCCUUCGUUCAUUCACCGUUCAGUUCAUCGUUCACCGUUCACAAU
Molecule: long non-coding RNA, 7084 nt
Filed under: Cucumis sativus (cucumber)
Lineage: Eukaryota; Viridiplantae; Streptophyta; Magnoliopsida; Cucurbitales; Cucurbitaceae
Description: long non-coding RNA (CSAT_LNC001615)
Source: RNAcentral